This 876-nucleotide ribosomal RNA is filed under the name Kalophrynus barioensis (Bario sticky frog). RNAcentral describes it as "partial large subunit ribosomal RNA". It matches the Rfam family "Bacterial large subunit ribosomal RNA", at positions 1124 to 2595 of the family's 2925-position model. The record is from RNAcentral. Lineage: Eukaryota; Metazoa; Chordata; Amphibia; Anura; Microhylidae.
CUAUAAAAGCGUCAAAGCUUUCUCAUAAAUUAAAUUAAUCUCCACAAACCUCCAAAACCCUUAUUUCCUACUGAAUGACUCCAUAUAACUAUGGAAAACCUUCUGCUAGAACUAGUAAUAAGAAGAAGACCUUCUCCCUAAAUGUAAACAUAAACCGGAACGAACAACUCACCGGAACCUACCGCUAAUGAAAAGAUUAUAACAACUUUACAAGAAAAAACUAUUCCACUAAGCGUUAACCUUACACAAGAACAUUUCAGGAAAGAUUAACAAAACGGGAAGGAACUCGGCAAACAACUAACCCCGCCUGUUUACCAAAAACAUCGCCUUGUGAUUAAAUAUACAAGGUCUCGCCUGCCCAGUGAUUCAUUUCAACGGCCGCGGUACCCUAACCGUGCAAAGGUAGCACAAUCACUUGUUCCUUAAAUAGGGACUAGUAUGAAUGGCAUCACGAGGGUUAUUCUGUCUCCCCCUUUUAAUCCAUGAAACUGAUCUCCCCGUGAAGAAGCGAGGAUAUUAAUAUAAGACGAGAAGACCCCAUGGAGCUUUAAACUCAGAAACACCUGCUAUUUUUCAACCAAAUUAACCAAGCUUCCUUGAUUUCUAGUUUUCGGUUGGGGUGACCACGGAGCACAACACAACCUCCUUGAUGAACGGAACUAGCUUCCUUAUUUAAGAACUACAGCUCUAAAAAUCAACACAUUGACAAAAAUUGAUCCAAAUAAUUUGAUCAACGAACCAAGUUACCCUGGGGAUAACAGCGCAAUCCAUUUCAAGAGCCCAUAUCGACAAAUGGGUUUACGACCUCGAUGUUGGAUCAGGGUAUCCCAGUGGUGCAACCGCUACUAAAGGUUCGUUUGUUCAACGAUUAAAACC